This 245-nucleotide ribosomal RNA is filed under the name uncultured bacterium. RNAcentral's name for it is "partial 16S ribosomal RNA". It matches the Rfam family "Bacterial small subunit ribosomal RNA", at positions 333 to 575 of the family's 1533-position model. The record is from RNAcentral.
GGUAGCCUACGGGGGGCAGCAGUGAGGAAUAUUGGUCAAUGGGCGCGAGCCUGAACCAGCCAAGUCGCGUGAGGGAAGACGGUCCUAUGGAUUGUAAACCUCUUUUGUCGGGGAGCAAAAGACGCCACGUGUGGCGUUCCGAGAGUACCCGAAGAAAAAGCAUCGGCUAACUCCGUGCCAGCAGCCGCGGUAAUACGGAGGAUGCGAGCGUUAUCCGGAUUUAUUGGGUUUAAAGGGUGCGCAGG